GCCUGGGUGGCUCAGUUGGUUGAGCAUCUGACUCUGGUUCAGGUCAUAAUUUCAAGGUUCUUGAGUUUGAGCCCCAGGCA
This 80-nucleotide transfer RNA is filed under the name Felis catus (domestic cat). The record is from Rfam by way of RNAcentral. Lineage: Eukaryota; Metazoa; Chordata; Mammalia; Carnivora; Felidae. RNAcentral also lists the same sequence under 6 other names.